CUAAAUUGGUAGAAUUAAGGAAGUUUUUAGUUCCCCUGUUAAUUCAGAGAUAUAUAGAAAGCCGGCAUUUUUCUACCACCUUUGGCAAUUUGCUUCCAGUAGUUCGACAACUCGCCUGUGGACACUUUUACAGCUCAUCCCUGCAUGCUGUUCAGAUGACAACGGUCACGAUAAAGACCGACAGCCAAUAGUCAGAUCUGUGUAUCAAAACAAACUUCUGCACUCAAAGCAACAUGAAUUCCUCUGAACAAGUAACAGCUGAGGUAACUCACUCACCGGAUGAAUUCGCAUUGCUCUUUAAAUUAAAGGGUUUUACAUCAAAUAUGAGGUAGAACUAUACUGUGACUUUUUUAACUUUAACUUUAUAUUUCUUUGCCAUUACUGCUAUAGAUUUUUAGUCAUUUUCUUGCAUUACAUGAAUAAAAAGUCACCUUAAAAAUAAUUAUUCUUUGGCUUUACUGAAAAUAGUUGCGAUGGAAACAGUGUUUGGACGGCUGCAGCUCACUCUGUGUAUUAAUACUGGCGGAAAACAUUAGUGUAGGCAAUUUGUCAUCAGUUUUGUUCAGCCAGCUGUGAUUAAAAUGGGGCCUGUCAAGGUUGCCCACAGUCAGUGUGGUUUUAACAGCUCCCCAAAAAGAGAUUCUGGCGAUUAUGGUCCUCUAUCAGUCAACAAGGAAAGUACAACUGAAAAGAAGACAGAAAUAGCUAAAGCAACUAUUUUACAGUUUAGUCGAACAGCCUGUGACAUUGACUGGCACGAGAAGAUGAAUGUUGCACAUAGAUCUGCACGCAGUACAACAAUUGUGAAUGUUGUGUCCAACACAAUCUUUUGGACUUUUGAUUUGGAUUAAUCUACCUGACUAUGUUACAUUAAGUACAAAAGUAUAAUUUGAAAGAUGACAUAUUUUAAUAUGUCGUUUAAAUGCUCAAGGGAAAUAAACACCCUGGUUGGAAGAUAAACAUAACCCCAGUAUUUUAAUCUCACAGAAAGUAAUAUUUUCAGUGCAUUGGCUUAUCACAACGCAUCAGUCUUCCUCUUAAACUGGCAGCACUAACAAUACAAUAGUACAGAUUUGUGCUUCACUGUUACUGUUGUCUCUGCAUCUGGGAAAUACGCAGUAUCUUUAGUUUUUACAAUUUUCAAAACCAGCAUUUCAUUAGUUUUUGUUGUGAGGUUUAAUAGAGAUUUAACCAAAGGAUAAAAGACGUGGCAAAACAUUAUAUUUUGAUCACUGGUCAAUUUUAGAAAUUUUGUGCAAUUUUUAUUUGACAGCAUUUCUUUU
This is a long non-coding RNA of Gasterosteus aculeatus aculeatus (three-spined stickleback), 1283 nucleotides long. The record is from Ensembl. Lineage: Eukaryota; Metazoa; Chordata; Actinopteri; Perciformes; Gasterosteidae.